AUUGAACGCUGGCGGCAGGCCUAACACAUGCAAGUCGAACGAGCGGCGGACGGGUGAGUAAUGUCUGGGAAACUGCCCGAUGGAGGGGGAUAACUACUGGAAACGGUAGCUAAUACCGCAUACCAUCGGAUGUGCCCAGAUGGGAUUAGCUAGUAGGUGGGGUAAAGGCUCACCUAGGCGACGAUCCCUAGCUGGUCUGAGAGGAUGACCAGCCAAACUGGGACUGAGACACGGCCCAGACUCCUACGGGAGGCCGCAGUGGGGAAUAUUGGACAAUGGGGGCAAGCCUGAUACAGCCAUGCCGCGUGUAGGAAGAAGGCCUUAGGGUUGUAAAGUACUUUCAGCGGGGAGGCGUUACCCGCAGAAGAAGCACCGGCUAACUACGUGCCAGCAGCCGCGGUAAUAC
This 406-nucleotide ribosomal RNA is filed under the name uncultured bacterium. RNAcentral's name for it is "partial 16S ribosomal RNA". It matches the Rfam family "Bacterial small subunit ribosomal RNA", at positions 29 to 526 of the family's 1533-position model. The record is from RNAcentral.